AUACGGAGGAUGCAAGCGUUAUCCGGAUUUAUUGGGUUUAAAGGGUGCGUAGGCGGUUUGCUAAGCGGGAGGUGAAAUGCCGGCGCUCAACGUCGGAAGUGCCUCCCGAACUGGUGGACUUGAAUGACUCUGCCGUGGGAGGAAUGUGUAGUGUAGCGGUGAAAUGCUUAGAGAUUACACAGAACACCGAUUGCGAAGGCAUCUCACGAAGGGUUGAUUGACGCUGAGGCACGAAAGCGUGGGGAUCAAACAGGAUUAGAUACCCUGGUAGUCCACGCAGUAAACGAUGAAUACUAGGUGCUGGGUCCCACAGGGGUUCGGUGCCGCCGCUAACGCAUUAAGUAUUCCACCUGGGGAGUACGUUCGCAAGAAUGAAACUCAAAGGAAUUGACGGGG
Molecule: ribosomal RNA, 396 nt
Filed under: uncultured bacterium
Lineage: Bacteria
Description: partial 16S ribosomal RNA
Rfam family: Bacterial small subunit ribosomal RNA
Source: RNAcentral